UACGUAGGGGGCAAGCGUUGUCCGGAAUCAUUGGGCGUAAAGAGCGCGUAGGCGGCCCUGUAAGUCCGCUGUGAAAGUCAAGGGCUCAACCCUUGGAUGCCGGUGGAUACUGCAGGGCUAGAGUCCGGAAGAGGCGAGUGGAAUUCCUGGUGUAGAGGUGAAAUUCGUAGAUAUUGGGAAGAACACCGGUGGCGAAGGCGGCUCACUGGCUCGUAACUGACGCUCAUGCACGACAGCGUGGGGAUCAAACAGG
Molecule: ribosomal RNA, 253 nt
Filed under: uncultured bacterium
Lineage: Bacteria
Description: partial 16S ribosomal RNA
Rfam family: Bacterial small subunit ribosomal RNA
Source: RNAcentral